RNAcentral lists this transfer RNA (73 nucleotides) under Oreochromis niloticus (Nile tilapia). Its description in RNAcentral is "tRNA-Tyr (GTA) (tRNA-Tyr-GTA-7-1)". It matches the Rfam family "tRNA". Rfam says of the family: Transfer RNA (tRNA) molecules are approximately 80 nucleotides in length. Lineage: Eukaryota; Metazoa; Chordata; Actinopteri; Cichliformes; Cichlidae. The record is from RNAcentral. RNAcentral also lists the same sequence under 2 other names.
CCUUCGAUAGCUCAGUUGGUAGAGCGGAGGACUGUAGAUCCUUAGGUCGCUGGUUCAAAUCCGGCUUGAAGGA